UGGGGAAUAUUGCACAAUGGGCGCAAGCCUGAUGCAGCAACGCCGCGUGAACGAUGAAGGUCUUCGGAUCGUAAAGUUCUGUUGCAGGGGAAGAUAAUGACGGUACCCUGUGAGGAAGCCCCGGCUAACUACGUGCCAGCAGCCGCGGUAAUACGUAGGGGGCUAGCGUUAUCCGGAUUUACUGGGCGUAAAGGGUGCGUAGGUGGUCUUUCAAGUCGGUGGUUAAAGGCUACGGCUCAACCGUAGUUAGCCUCCGAAACUGGAAGACUUGAGUGCAGGAGAGGAAAGUGGAAUUCCCAGUGUAGCGGUGAAAUGCGUAGAUAUUAGGAGGAACACCAGUAGCGAAGGCGGCUUUCUGGACUGCAACUGACACUGAGGCACGAAAGCGUGGGUAGCAAACAGG
This 403-nucleotide ribosomal RNA is filed under the name Verrucomicrobiota bacterium. RNAcentral describes it as "Verrucomicrobia bacterium partial 16S ribosomal RNA". It matches the Rfam family "Bacterial small subunit ribosomal RNA", at positions 355 to 776 of the family's 1533-position model. Lineage: Bacteria; Pseudomonadati; Verrucomicrobiota. The record is from RNAcentral.